Molecule: ribosomal RNA, 497 nt
Filed under: uncultured bacterium
Lineage: Bacteria
Description: partial 16S ribosomal RNA
Rfam family: Bacterial small subunit ribosomal RNA
Source: RNAcentral
GACGAACGCUGGCGGCGUGCCUAAUACAUGCAAGUUGAGCGCUGAGGGGUGGUACUUGUACCACCUGGAUUAGCGGCGGACGGGUGAGUAACACGUGGAUAAUCUACCUUUGAGCGUGGGACAACAUUUGGAAACGAAUGCUAAUACCGCAUAAAAUCUUUAAACACAAGGUUUAAGUUUGAAAGAUGCAAUUGCAUCACUCAAUAAUGAUCCCCCGUCGUAUUAGCUAGGUGGGGAGGUUAACGCUCAACAAGGCGAAGAUACAUAGCCGACCUUAGAGGGUGAUCGGGCAACAUGGGAAUGAGAAAACGGCCCAAACUCUACGGGAGGGAGCAGGAGGGAAACUUUGCGCAAGGAGGAAAGUCUGACCGAGGAACGCCGGGGGGGUGAAGAAGGGUUUCGGAACGUAAAAAUCUUGUGGUAGAGAAGAACGAUAGUGAGAGUGGAAAGCUCAUCAAGUGACGGUAACUACACAGAAAGGGACGGCUAACUACGUG